Molecule: non-coding RNA, 418 nt
Organism: Lactuca sativa (garden lettuce)
Lineage: Eukaryota; Viridiplantae; Streptophyta; Magnoliopsida; Asterales; Asteraceae
Source: RefSeq, a predicted model, not a curated record
CAAACACAGGACUCUUUGUGGGUCUAAAUAAAGGGCAUGUUGUCACCAAGAAGGAAUUAGCACCUCGUCCUUCCGACAGAAAAGGGGCUUAUCAAGAUAUUCUCUAGCUUUGAGAGCUGCAUAAGGCUAAUGAUUAAAAAAAGAAAAAAUGGAGAUUCUAAAGAUCAUCAUCCAAAUGCACCAAAAUUUAGAGUAAGAUCGAACCACUAUUAAUGAAGGUAUUCUACUGGGCUAGGAUGCUUGUUGUUUGGAUAUGGAGCCAUGGAAGAACUUGGACCCUUCCGUGUUAACAGUGAUGGAAAAACACUCUACCCCAACCACUAUGCAUGGAACAAUGGUGCAUGCCUAACCCUAUAAAACCUUUGCUUUUGAGGUACUAACUGUUUUCUCCUGGAAUUUUUUUUGCCUGAGAUUUUUU